ACUGCUCAGUAACACGUGGACAACCUACCCUGAAGAGGGGGAUAACCCCGGGAAACUGGGGAUAAUACCCCAUAGGCUAUGGAUGCUGGAAUGCUCUGUAGUUGAAAGGUCCGCCGCUUCAGGAUGGGUCUGCGGCCGAUUAGGUUGUUGUUGGGGUAACGGCCCAACAAGCCUGUAAUCGGUACGGGUUGUGGGAGCAAGAGCCCGGAGAUGGAUUCUGAGACACGAAUCCAGGCCCUACGGGGCGCAGCAGGCGCGAAAACUUUGCAAUGCGAGCAAUCGUGACAAGGGAACUCCGAGUGCCUGUAAAAUCAGGCUGUCCGCCAGUGUAAAUAACUGGCGAAGAAAGGGCCGGGCAAGACCGGUGCCAGCCGCCGCGGUAAUACCGGCGGCUCGAGUGGUGGCCACUAUUACUGGGCUUAAAGCGUUCGUAGCUGGCUUGUUAAGUCUCUGGGGAAAUCUUCCGGCUUAACCGGAAGGCGUCUCAGGGAUACUGGCAGGCUAGGGACCGGAAGAGGUGAGAGGUACUCCAGGGGUAGGAGUGAAAUCCUGUAAUCCUUGGGGGACCACCUGUGGCGAAGGCGUCUCACCAGAACGGCUCCGACAGUGAGGAACGAAAGCUGGGGGAGCAAACCGGAUUAGAUACCCGGGUAGUCCCAGCUGUAAACGAUGCGCGUUAGGUGUAUCGGUGACCACGAGUCACCGAGGUGCCGAAGAGAAAUCGUGAAACGUGCCGCCUGGGAAGUACGGUCGCAAGGCUGAAACUUAAAGGAAUUGGCGGGGGAGCAC
RNAcentral lists this ribosomal RNA (789 nucleotides) under uncultured archaeon. RNAcentral describes it as "bacterial SSU rRNA". It matches the Rfam family "Archaeal small subunit ribosomal RNA", at positions 85 to 879 of the family's 1478-position model. The record is from RNAcentral.